This 253-nucleotide ribosomal RNA is filed under the name uncultured bacterium. Its description in RNAcentral is "partial 16S ribosomal RNA". It matches the Rfam family "Bacterial small subunit ribosomal RNA", at positions 524 to 776 of the family's 1533-position model. The record is from RNAcentral.
UACGUAGGGGGCAAGCGUUGUCCGGAUUCAUUGGGCGUAAAGAGCGUGUAGGCGGCCUGAAGGGUCAGCUGUGAAAACUCGAGGCUCAACCUCGAGACGUCGGUUGAAACCAUCUGGCUAGAGUCCGGAAGAGGAGUGUGGAAUUCCCGGUGUAGCGGUGAAAUGCGCAGAUAUCAGGAGGAACACCGGUGGCGAAGGCGGUGGUCUGGGCCGGUACUGACGCUGAGGAGCGAAAGCGUGGGGAGCGAACAGG